RNAcentral lists this long non-coding RNA (7639 nucleotides) under Gallus gallus (chicken). Lineage: Eukaryota; Metazoa; Chordata; Aves; Galliformes; Phasianidae. The record is from RNAcentral.
CUUCCAGGUCUACAUUCUCAAAGGUUUCCCACCACUGUAACCAAUGCAAACAGCAUCUGUGCAAGGAAAAGGCAUCACAGAGAAUUUUGUGCCUGUGUAAGAUUUAGAGCAAAAGCACAAAACAGAGGAGUUCAAGCACAUUUGAGGAAGAGGUGUUUUGAGAAAUCUGUUGCAUUGUAGAGCUCUGAAAGUGAGUACAGUAAGAAGCAGAAGACAUAAAGAAAUGGGUAUUUAUGGGAAAACAAUUUCAAAAUGGUGUAUCUCAAAAUUUGCCUGGUAGUUCAGUGGGUUCACUGUCUUCCUUAAUUCUUUUGGAAAGAAAGUGCCAGAGCAGUGGGCUGAACUCACCAAAGAACAGGCUUUCUUCGACAUAUACACUCUAUCCACCCUGACCUGUCACCAGGACAAUGAAAUUGCCUCAGGAAAUCUGUGUCAUGUAUUAAAGAGAUAAACAACUGCAAGAUGUCUCUUUCAUUUCAACUGGCCAAAAAGGAGACAAUGCAGACUGAUCACCAAAUACUUUUUCCAGCCUUUAAGAUAAGUGGGGCUAAGAAAUAGAAACUUAAAGGAGAGGAGGGGGAGUAUGAAGCGAUGUUUAAUGCCUUUGGCAUUAUUUCUUUUAGCAGUGAAUACUAAACGAUUUUCAAACUGAGAUCAUAGUUGAACAGGCAGAAAAAGAAAAUGUCAUUUUGUCUAUGAAGUUCUCAGAAAGAUGAACCUGUCAGGAGACAGAGAAAUAGGUCACAAGCAAGUUAAUGGAAAGUAAUAAAUGGAAUACAUGGUGCCGCAAUGCUUCAUCUCAAUUAAAAGUUCACAUGCCGAAUGCCAUUUAAACUGACAGAUACUCAGCUCUUAUCAGCCUGCAUAUUUAGAUUCUUUGCAUUUAUAAAGGCUGUUGUUUAUUCCACUGGGUAGUCUGCGGAAUCCUCCUGUUGCUUUUGUUAGUCAAUAAUAAUUGAAGUAAAAAGUAGUGAAAUGCCAGGAUUCAUAGGAGAAUGUUUCAUGGGAGGAUGCAUCUCUAUUACACAUGUUCAGGUGCUUUAGAAGAAACUGAUGUUAGAGAAACAUGUCACUAGACUGACAUGAACUAACCAUCACUCUUUGACCAAUAUUACCGUUUCAAGAGGCAGCUCCAAUGCACCUUUUUAGCAGCUCAAGACAAAAAGGAGAGGUUUGGAAGGCAAUAUAGAGAGCAACAUAUUUGCAUGAUAUGCAGCAGUGCUGCACUCCACAUUGUGCUAUAGAGCUGGGAUGGUAAUAAUGAACUGCCUGAAAGGGCUGUACAUACUAACUGCUGGGUUAUAGCUUCAUCCUUGUUUUACUCUGUUGGAAGAGGUGGAUAAUUGUUUGUAGAGAUUACUUGAGCCACUUGCAGGUGAGACGGAACUGUGUAGCUUUUAUGUGGGAGAGAUGACUUAAAACUGAAGAUGAGAAACAGAAAGAUACCAUAGGUAGUACAGUACCUAGAGUUAGGAACGUGGCUGCAGCAUCCUGAGGUGAAAAACGUUAGGCAUCAGAAGGGUGCACUUUUGGGAUAUAUAUGUAUGUAUAUCUGAACUCUCAUUCUCCCCAGCUUGGGUAUCUGACUCGGAGCUCCUUGUUAAAUAAGUCGCUCCUUUCACUAGAUUAAGCACUUCACAAAACUCCUUUGCCUCAAAGUGACAGUGAGAAUCAUCAUCCAUGUAACUUCUUGCUCGUCCUCAAACUUGCUCAGGCAAUGAGUGUUCUGCUUUGUAGUCCUCCUCAAGAACCAGGAUCUUAGUCAUACCCUCCUUUCAGCACAAGGUACCUGCACUGUGUCAGAGCUGGGGGAGCAGCUUUCACUGCUCAUGUUACAGCUGUGUUUCUGAGCUGGCCAGGCUGCUAGAGGCAGCAACCAGAGGCAGCAUGACACUGCAGGAAUGGUCCACUACUACAGGGUGAAAAGGGUGACUACGGUGCUCUCUAUAGUGACGAGUAGAUGGGGGCUGCUGGAGUGCCACGAGCAGACUGAAUGAAACAGAAACACACUCUGUGUUUGGUCGCUUUACUGACCGAGAGCAGAGCUGAGACAGGUAUUAGUCAUUUCCUUGCUCAGACUAGAAGGUUGUAUGUGUAUGCAGAAGUCUAAACACGGGUGGAAAAUGUUUCCACUGGCAAAAUCUUAAUGGGAUGCUUCAUUUUAAGCAGACAUUUCUUUCUACAACUGAUCAUUUUAGCUCUUUCUCCCUAUCUGGCUGCAGAAAAUACAUCUCAGUGGCUAAGUGCCAAAUCAAAGAAAAUAAAUAACAAACCAUGACACUCAUCAGUCAACGAAAAGCAAGCUGAUUCUGCUGGGGCUCAAGUUUACAACAGACCCAAGAUUUACACUGCUCUGACAGUCAGGCUGGCAAAUGUCAAAGCCAGGAAUAAAGGAGAAAAACUUGUACAACCUGUACUAUUUGCACAAGCACACAGAUGUGUUUUCAGAGAGGUUACAAAUGAAAAGGGGAAGAGCUGUUCAUCCCUAGCUUACAAAUAUACCAGUGUGCUCUGAUACUAUGAGGAUCAAAAUAUCUGUGUUUUUUAUUUGAAAAAAAGCAAGAUCAAAAUCCCAUAACCAAGUGUCAAAGUCUGGCCCUAGUUUUGCUGCUUACUUUUAACCCUUCCAGGUUGUGUAUGUUCUGAGGAUCUAAGCACUAAAGAUUUUGUACUAAAUUAUGACUGAUUCUUACUCAGCGUAGAUAAGUAAUUGGGCACCCGGGUGCCUGCCCCCUCUCCACACACAAACCCUUUGGCUUAUUUCUGUUGUCAAAAGCUUGAAAAGGGUUAUUUUAAAAACGUUUCUAAAUGUAACUUGUAGUCAGUUAAUAUUUAAGUACUGUUUACAUUGCACACAAUGAAAUGGGAGCAUGCUUUGGAAAGAUCUUAUUGACUGUGCCUGUCUGCUAGCUUAAUGUAGUUUGAUUUUGAUAUCAUGUAAGUAGAACACAGUGAUGAAAAACAGCUUUUCUAAUGAAGGGUUUUUUUUUUUUUCACUGCUUGCUUAUUUUGGGACACAAAAGCAUGCAUCUUUCUAUCCCUUUCUCUUUUACAGAACAUGACUGCAAAAUAAGUAGCCAAGAAGACUUUUAUUCAUGUUGUAAUUAAAAGAAAUCUAAGUAACAGACUAUAACUUUGAUAUUGCUAAACCAUAGGGGGCAAAUUUUAAGCUUGCACAUGCUCUCAACACAGACAUCAGUGGAGAAAUGAUGAACACUCUAGGAAGAAAGAACUUCAUGCAGCAAUAAGUGACAUAGGGGAAAGCAGCGGACCGGCUGGACCCAGCUGCCCUGCGGUUGCUCAGAGAGGUGCUCCAUGCUGUUUCACUUGCCUGACCCUCUUUAGCAUCCAGGCAGAUCAAACUGUGCUAUGACUUGUAUAAAGAGGAUUAAUGUUACAAAGAGAGUUGUAUUAAGCUACCAAAUUCAUUUCUGUGUGACUCUGGCUUUAAGUAAAGGUUUCUAGGGUGAAAGGCUAAUGUAUUAACUCAUUGCAUCAAGAACAUCUUAUUAUGCAGAAGUUAAUGUUAAUACACUCAAUUAACUACAUUUUUACAGAUCUGCUGCUUUCAUGGAUAUUUUUCCUUGUGCAAAUUGUACUAUUUGCAUCUUUUAUCUAAUUUAACAUGUAGUUUGUGUCAAAAAUUCCUUUGGAAGAAACAACAAUUAGGCUGUCAUGAAAACACAGCUCACCAAGAAUUCAAGGAAUGUAAGUUGUGUCAGAAUUGAAGAGGAUGCUGCUCCUGGCCCCAGUGGGCCAAAAAGCCAAGAAAAUAAGUUACCUGCUGCAAUUAUCCUCUUCUCCUCUCAGCACAUGCAAGCACAUCUGGCACUGACUCUGGCCUCUAUACAAUGUUUUUAUGUCACUGUGUGGAAUUUAAAAAAAUGCUGUAAAUGUACUGAGUAAGCACUCCUGGCAUAGAUAAUAGUUUGCUACACUUCAGCCUCAAAGGUUUCAAAGGAUGACUCCCAGGCUAUGUCUGAAGUAUAUUGUGCUGAAGCAGCUGAGAUAGCUCAUGGAUAUAACUGUUUUUCCCAUCCUGAGAGGAAUGCAGGAUGAAGUGUGAGGAGCCUUGAAGAAGCCUGUUGCUCACAUUUAGAUAAAUUAAUGAUGUACUCUGUAUGCAAACAAGACAAGAUUAUGUUUCAGCAGUGAUGGGCCUGAUUAGUUUUAAAUGAUGAUGAAGGGACCACUUUGGUGGUUUGCACUGAGCUUUUAAAGCCAAGUUUGCAGUGAGCUAGUUGAGGUAAAAAUAUGUUUUCAUUCGUACACUCAGCUAUGCAGUGGUAUGUAGAUACUGUAUAAAUCUGAAUUGUGCAUCAAAUGUAUGCUACUGAUUGUCCUCAUGAGUCAUUCAGGGAGCAAAUGUGCCUCCCUUCAGGCUGUACACUUGCUUCCUUCCCAAGAAAAUCACAAAUCUGAAAGUGGAAGCAGUGCCUGGGCCUGUGUCUGUCCUGGACACAUCAUGAAACAUCUAAAAGCUUUAUACAUAGGAGCCGAGAAGUGCCUCUGGCUCAGUUAACUUAGACAUGGCCGCUGCCAUUAUCCUGUCAGCUGUACUCUCAAAGGAGGGGAGCGUCUGUCUUUUUGCAGUGGUAGCUAUAAGACAGCUCCUAUUUUUUUGAGAGCAAUAGAUGCAAUGCAUUAAGAGAAUGAUUUUAACACGGAUACCAUACUGUUAUCUUUUCUUGAUUUGUUAGCUCUCUAGAUACAGAUACUGCCAGUCUGAAAAAAAAAAAAAAAGCUGUUACUUUUUGUGCAUAGAAAAAGCUUUCAAUUUCCAGAUAGUGAAAGAAAAAUGGGAAUGUUCAACUCUGCCUAGCCUUUUCAAGGCACUAAAACACAUAUUACUUUUCAAUGGUGUGAAGACUUACUAUUAGGGAAGGAUUGGUUUUGACCGUGACUACAAAGAAUCAACUCAGAUGUGAUUCUUAAAGCCUAAGUAUCUAUUACCUUCUUGUCUAGAGACAGGUGAGAAAUAUAUUUUUCUCCUAUGAGAGUACAAAAUCUCAAAAUUGUUCUAAUUCCCCCAAGACUUCUAUAAAAAUCACAUUAAAGUACUGUGACAGGGCAGAUACAUGUUACUAACCCACUGUGAUCUACUUUAUCUGGAAAGAUAUCUAAUUUGUCAUUUCAAUAUAUAGGUUUCCCUAAACAUCCAUGAACUCUUCCCAUUAGGAGUGAUCAUAACACCUCUCCCCUGUAGACCCCCCUGAGCCUCAAAAGUGUAAAGGGCUUCGUGGACACUCUCAUAACAUGGCUGGUGAUGCUUUCUCUUUCCUGCCCACAGGAAAUUGAGUAAAUGUAAUAUCCUUUAGACAGUGAACUUUUCCAAACUCUGAACUAUACAGACAAUUCCUACUUAAGUCUUCAGGCACAGAUCAGAUGGGUAUAUAGAGGGACCCGUGUGAGCCUUGUUUCCUUCUGAAACCAGUAAAAAGGAGGAGCUAUGAUUCAAUAGGAUAGUGGCAAGACAGACCCAGCCCCAUGUCCCCCAGAUCAGCUGCAGCACACCUCUCACCAGUGCCUGACUGACACUAGAGCAGUGGCACAAAAUGUUGUUAAUAGCAGAGAAUGUAAGUCAAAAAUGAAAGAAAAGUAUUCUUUGGUCUGCUUAGAACCACUACCAUUUUCCCUCUCCCUAGCAUUAGAAGUGAACUUUACUAGCUGAUGCUAACCCUGUCCCACUCCCAAACCCCAGUGUUCUGAACAGCGUCAGUUCAUCCUGUUCUUUCCCAGUAUAUCAUGUUACCUUUACAACUGAGAGAAGGAUCUGUUUGCUUUUCCCACUGAGAUACAAGGACAUAAUGUUUAGAAUGUAGCAUUAAUUUGCAUUGGUUGCAGAUUACAGUCCAGUUAGGACAUGGAGAGAGGAGUACCUGUGCAAAUAAAUCACAAAUGAUGUGAUAAAUACUUUUAGAGAAUAUCAUAUAACAGCGUGUCAAAGUUUUCUUCUUAUACAGUGCAUUAAAAGGAAUCUUACCUUUAACUACUGAGAAAAUAAUUUCUCCUGAUUUUUUAAAGCCUUAUCCAGUCCUCUUAACAUAAUUUCUUGAGCUUUGAACUCAAUGAGUCUUCUAAUAAUGUCCUUAAAUGAGGGAAGGAGGUAAUUUUCUCUCUCGCUGCCUUUAGGGGAUCAUCAAUCAUGCAUCACUCAUAAGUGUUAGCAUUGCACCAUGGCUGAUUUUUUUUUUUUUUUUCCAAGAAGCCUAAUUGUGCAUGGAGGAAGUGCUGUAGAGUAAAAGGUUCCAUUUAUAAAUUGCACAUUCUUUGUGUAGAAUUGCUGUACCUCCUGUAGGGCAAUUUUCAUCUAAAACCUUACACUGAUUCAGAUCCCCAGCCACAAUAACUUUUUUUACAACCUUUUCUCCACCCACUGCCACCACACAUUUCUAUAACAAGCAAAUCCCAUGGAUGAUAUAAGGACAGAUUAUAAAUAAAUUGUACUGUGAUAAGGUCACAGAAGAUGCAUUUAUUAAAUCAUGUGAUGACACAAGAAUUGAGCCAAGCUACACUUAUCUAAACCCCAAUAAACUGGCAUCAAAAUAUUAAGAACUGGUUUCGCUGAGCCCAAUGAUUCCCAAACAUUUGCUUAUUCAGCAGUUUCUGAAUUAAAACACUAAAAUUUGUAUGCUAGACUUUUCCACUUAAAAAGUGGAUUCGAUCACAAAAAAUGUGAUGGCCUUCAUCUGAGCCUCCAACCGAUCUUCCCACAUUGCAAAAAUCAGUAUUUGCAUUUAUUUGCACAUUAGUAACUGCAAUUAGUAUCAGGCAAAAAUUAUUAAUUCCAAUUAGCAGUAGGUGAUUAAGAGAAACCAAGUCCGAAUACUAACCAUACAAGAUGGCAGUAAAUGUACCUGAAGACGUAAUGUGAAAUCAUCUCUGAAUCUCAUUGUCUGUUGAAAAUAAAAAUCUUCUCCACGCAGGACAGCAUUUCUUACCAGCAAAUAAAUAAGAUAUGGAGCAAAGUGCUUUCCUGCUUACUUACAGAAUUCUGUUUCUUGAUUACAACAGUGAGAUGUCUCCACUCAGCACUCCAAAGCCCUGCAGCAUAAAGGGCUUCCUCAGAUUCAACACUCCCAAGGAAAGUUCUCUGACUCUUUCAUCCGUUUUUCAACUUUCUUCUUCCUCUACUCUCACACACCUUUCCAAUCAAACAACGCUGUUUGAUUGGAGUGUUGUUCACUCCUAGAAUAAACAUUUCUAAAUGGCCUUACGUGAACAUUUGUUGUGGGCAGCCCCAUGCCUAUGUUUUGGCACAAGAGACACUGUAGUUUCAUAAAGAUGCUUAUUUGUUUCUAAAAGCCCAUGGAAAAGGACUGCAUAUUUUCUCACUGUGGUUUCACCACACUUUAAAUCAGUCAUUUGUGAAGAGUAUACAGUAGCAGCAGCAGGGAGCAGUCUACACUUCAGGCUAGCAGUCUCACAGAAAUACAGCGCAAAUGUGUCUUACCGCUUUCUCUUCAUUCACGUAAGACUUGAAGAACUGGCGCUGCCUCACGCGUGUCAGAAGACUGCUCUGCAAAUUCAUUCUGAGUGAAAAAGAAAAUAUAAGUUAAAAGCACACGCUCACCAUGUCUGUUUUUUCACCUUCUGAACUCUAGAACAGAUUUUUAAAGCAAUCAGCUCUAAGUGCAAU